AGGAGGAACAACCACAGUGGCGGCAGCCAGCUCUGGAGCCCUGGAGUCAGCUCCCGCAGUAGCUACAGAGCUCUCGGUGUGCAGGGGCAUGGAUGCUCAGGGGGUGG
RNAcentral lists this microRNA precursor (107 nucleotides) under Canis lupus dingo (dingo). RNAcentral's name for it is "mir-8834 microRNA precursor family". It matches the Rfam family "mir-8834 microRNA precursor family". Lineage: Eukaryota; Metazoa; Chordata; Mammalia; Carnivora; Canidae. The record is from Rfam by way of RNAcentral.